This 502-nucleotide ribosomal RNA is filed under the name uncultured Actinomycetes bacterium. RNAcentral's name for it is "bacterial SSU rRNA". It matches the Rfam family "Bacterial small subunit ribosomal RNA", at positions 384 to 897 of the family's 1533-position model. Lineage: Bacteria; Bacillati; Actinomycetota; Actinomycetes. The record is from RNAcentral.
UGAUGCAGCGACGCCGCGUGAGGGAUGACGGCCUCGGGUUGUAAACCUCUUUCAGCAGGGACGAAGCGAAAGUGACGGUACCUGCAGAAGAAGCGCCGGCCAACUACGUGCCAGCAGCCGCGGUAAGGCGUAGGGCGCGAGCGUUGUCCGGAUUUAUUGGGCGUAAAGAGCUCGUAGGCGGCUUGUCGCGUCGACUGUGAAAACCCGCGGCUCAACCGUGUGGUCUGCAGUCGAUACGGGCAGGCUAGAGUUCGGUAGGGGAGACUGGAAUUCCUGGUGUAGCGGUGAAAUGCGCAGAUAUCAGGAGGAACACCGGUGGCGAAGGCGGGUCUCUGGGCCGAUACUGACGCUGAGGAGCGAAAGCGUGGGGAGCGAACAGGAUUAGAUACCCUGGUAGUCCACGCUGUAAACGUUGGGCGCUAGGUGUGGGGGCCUCUCCGGUUCUCUGUGCCGCAGCUAACGCAUUAAGCGCCCCGCCUGGGGAGUACGGCCGCAAGGACCA